Long non-coding RNA from Tyto alba (common barn owl), 816 nucleotides. RefSeq lists it as uncharacterized. NCBI's taxonomy places the organism in Eukaryota, Metazoa, Chordata, Aves, Strigiformes, Tytonidae. The transcript is spliced from 3 exons. The record is from RefSeq and is a predicted model, not a curated record.
GGGCGCGCCACGAGCGUGCAUCCCGCGCCUGCGCCCCGGGUGGGGUGAGGGCGGCGGGUGCGUCCCCGGGCCGCGCCGGGGGCCCCCGAGGAGCCUCUGCAAGGGAUAAACGUGUCACCCGACAGAGGAAGGGACCGAGCGGUGACCCGGAGCUGUGUCCGUGAGUGCAGAGGAGACACCGAAGCUGCCUUGCCUGUGCCUACCCACCCCAGGAGAUCUGGGCCCCCCACACGCAUUUUGGCCCUUGGGAGCAGGACUAGGAGAGACCCUCUGCCCAGAGAGAGGCACUAGGCAUGGAUUGAGUCCCUGAGGGAAGAGGCCAGGCUCCCAGCUCACAGAAAGACAACUCACCUCCCUGCUGCUGCGAGCAUCUUGUUGGGGACAGCCCUGCCUGUGCCUGCCUUGGAGUACAGAUCCAGCUGACAGACCCCCCCAGCUUGCUACAGCUCCGGCCACAAGGUGUUCCUGCUCAUAUUCACUCCCCUUACAGCUGCAGGUAAUUUCAGUUCUAGCUACUGGACACUGCAGCUUGAGGUAAUUUCAGGACCAACUUUGGCUAAUGAGGUGCUCCUGCUGAUGGACACUCCAGCUCGGAGAUGCCCCCGCUCUGGUUUACUAAAUCCUCCUUGUUACAAGCCAAGUAAAGCUCCAGCUAAUUACAGCAAUCUGGGCGUUUGGCAGGGUCAUAAAUCAAUCACUGUCAUAACAUGUAUAUGAAUAUGACCUGUCGUAUGUGUACAUUGUCUAAAUAUGGUCUAAUGAGUUAAUAACUAUUGAGUGGUUGUACAACCCUUGAAUAAAGAGCUGGACACCCAA